AAGAAAGGUAAGGGCCCUGGGCGAGGAAACCGCGGCCCUUUCCGAGUUUGGUGUUUUGCGGCGAAAGGAAAUCUCGCUCUUCCGAAAGUCCUCCAGGGCGAGAGAGGAAAGGGCCUAGGUACUGUGCUGGGGUCGCACAGCCGGCCGAGACAGUGCCGGGACGGGGAGCCAGGCUUCCUAGUGCGCCCGGUCACUGACUCCUCCGCGCUUUCCUCGUGCGCCUGCAGCCCUUGGUUCUUGGAAACGCCGGCGCCUUGUUCAGGGCUGGUGGGGCUGGGGCGCAAGGUGCAGCUGACAAUGCCUGAGAGGAGCCGCAGCCUCUGGUGGAGUUCGGUCGGGUGUGGGGGUAGUCAGGGAAAGAAGCAAAGGGAAUACCUCCUCUGAAAAAUGGCAGAAGCAGUUUUCCAUGCCCCAAAGAGGAAAAGAAGAGUGUAUGAGACUUACGAGUCUCCAUUGCCAAUCCCUUUUGGUCAGGACCAUGGUCCUCUGAAAGAAUUCAAGAUAUUCCGUGCUGAAAUGAUUAACAACAAUGUGAUUGUGAGGAAUGCAGAGGACAUUGAGCAGCUCUAUGGGAAAGGUUAUUUUGGAAAAGGUAUUCUUUCAAGAAGCCGUCCAAGCUUCACAAUUUCAGAUCCUAAACUGGUUGCUAAAUGGAAAGAUAUGAAGACAAACAUGCCUAUCAUCACAUCAAAGAGGUAUCAGCGUAGUGUUGAGUGGGCAGCAGAGCUGAUGCGUAGACAGGGGCAGGAUGAGAGUACAGUGGGCAGAAUCCUCAAGGAUUACACGAAACCGCUUGAGCAUCCUCCUGUGAAAAGGGAUGAAGAGGCUCAAGUGCAUGACGAGCUUAACUCUGGAAUGGUUUCCAACAUGGAAGGCACAGCAGGGGGAGAGAGACCUUCUGUGGUAAACGGGGACUCUGGAAAGUCAGGUGGUGUGGGUGAUCCCCGUGAGCCAUUAGGCUGCCUGCAGGAGGGCUCUGGCUGCCACCCAACAACAGAGAGCUUUGAGAAAAGCGUGCGAGAGGACGCCUCACCUCUGCCCCACGUCUGUUGCUGCAAACAAGAUGCUCUCAUCCUGCAGCGUGGCCUUCAUCAUGAAGACGGCAGCCAGCACAUCGGCCUCCUGCAUCCUGGGGACAGAGGGCCUGACCAUGAGUACGUGCUGGUCGAGGAAGCGGAGUGUGCCAUGAGCGAGAGGGAGGCUGCCCCAAAUGAGGAAGCCUUCUUCUUGGUCUAUGCUCUGGGAUGUUUAAGUAUUUACUAUGAGAAGGAGCCUUUAACGAUAGUGAAGCUCUGGAAAGCUUUCACUGUAGUUCAGCCCACGUUCAGAACCACCUACAUGGCCUACCAUUACUUUCGAAGCAAGGGCUGGGUGCCCAAAGUGGGACUCAAGUACGGGACAGAUUUAUUGCUAUAUCGGAAAGGCCCUCCAUUUUACCAUGCAAGUUAUUCUGUCAUUAUCGAGCUAGUCGAUGACCAUUUUGAAGGCUCUCUCCGCAGGCCUCUCAGUUGGAAGUCCCUGGCUGCCUUGAGCAGAGUUUCCGUUAAUGUCUCUAAGGUAACACAACAUCAGCUUUGCCAUUGGAGUGUCACUGAGAUGGUUCAGUUUUUUUUUUUUUCUUAAAUGUAGUAGAAUCAAAAAAGUUAGUUGUAGAAACUUCAUAACAUUCCUGCCAGUGACAUGCUGGAAGAUUUGGGGUCAUUCGUACCCUUCCCUUAUUGCGCUAGAAGUUGUCCUCCCCUCAUGUUACAUUUUAUUGUCCCCUCCCUCCCAGCUGCUGCUGAGUUCCAAUGACGGAGCUUUGGAGUGUCCCGUGGUGAUCUGAUCUGGGUAGGCAUUGCUUCUCUUCCCAGGGGUAUCGUUGCUAUGUGACUUGUUUUAUACUGCAAUUUAACAUCACUCAUACACAUAUUCACAAAGGAGUCAAAACAUUGAAAGUUUGCAGAUCUCUUAGAGAGGAAGGGACUUGAUAUUUGUUGCUAAGCACUUUCCCACCCUGUUGUUAUCCUCAUCCUGAGGAUGAGAAACCACGGUUGGAGCCGUUGAGUGUCUAAUCCAAGAUCACACAGCUCAUGUGCAGACUCGGGAUCCAAACCCACAGCUCUCUGGCUCCCUGGCUUUUGUUUCACUAUAUCCUUCGUGUUGCCAUCAGAGAUAGGAGGGACUCAGCUUACACAAGGACUAUCAAGAAAGAAAGCUGUGUGUGUUCUCAUUACUCAGUGAUUUGCUGGCUGAAAACAAAUUGUAGAUACCCUCUAAUUUCAUCCUCAUGCUGCUGGAGGUGAGGUGGGGCUGAGGCCAGAGGGUCUUGCAGGGCUAGAGAUGACUGCCCUUUAGAGCAGGUUAGGUUGCCUAGGCUUUAGCUUGGUCCUAUAGAAAAUUAGGGAGCCUAUACUGUUUCUAGAAUUUUUAUGCUCAUUUUAGGGGACUUGUAGCAUAUACUUAAUAUGUCCUCACUUAACAUUAUUGAUAUGUUCUUGGAAACUGCAACUUUAAUGUCGUAUAACAAAACCGUUUUUUCUUCUCAUCAUUUCAAGAAAAUAAUGUUGAAGUUUAUUUGAAGACCUGCUGUACAUCUGUAUUAGUCCGUUCUCAUGCUGCUAGAAAGAAAUACUUGAGACUGGGUAAUUUAUAAUGAAAAGAGGUUUAAUUGACUCACAGUUCCAUGUGGCUGGGGAGGCCUCAGGAAACUUACAAUCAUGGUGGAAGGCACCUCUUCAGAGGGUGGCAGGAGCAAGAAUGAGAGGACGAGUGAAGGAGGAAGCCCCUUAUAAAACCAUCACAUCUCAUGAGAACUCACUGUCACAAGAACAGCAUGGGGACCGUCCCCCAUAAUCUAAUCACCUCCCACGAGGUCCCUCCAUGACACGUGGGGAUUGUGGGAACUACAAUUCAAGAUGAGAUUUGGGUGGGGGCACAGCCAAACCGUAUCAACAUCAUUUCACUUAAAGUCUGUGUCCAAGAACCUAUCAAGGACAUUUGAGGACUUACUAUAUUUAGUAUUCUUAAUGCUGUGUUUAUAAUCAAUGUAUCUGCUUAUAUCUGUUGCCAUGUUCAGUGAUUACUAAACGGCAGGUACUUAGUCAGAACGUAAAUCCCAGUUAUGGUUUCCCCAGGAGGAAACUGAUGUGCUCUGUGAGUUUCCACUUGGAGUGCACAGUGAGAGGGACUGGAGACCACCUGCAUUUCCUGCUGAUGCACCCAAAUUUGUACUAUUAUUUUGUAGGAUACAGAAGUGGUUUUUCAUUUCUCAAUAGGAACUUAUGCUGUGCUAUUUGAUUAAACCCUCUACUAUGACUGACAAGGAAAUGGAGUCACCAGAAUGUAUGAAAAGGAUUAAAGUUCAGGAGGUGAUUCUGAGUCGAUGGGUUUCUUCACGAGAGAGGAGUGACCAAGACGAUCUUUAACAAUUCAACCUCAAAUUUCUAAUUUCACCAACAACUAUUUAUUGAGGGCUAGUCUCACUCUGUCGUCCAGGCUGGAGUCCAAUGCUGCGAUCUUGGAUCACUGCAACCUCUGCCUGCUGGGUUUAAGCGAUUCUCGUGCCUCAGCCUCCUGAGUAGCUGGGAUUACAGGCACGCACCACCACACACGGCUAAUUUUUGUAUUUUUAGUAGAGACGGGGUUUCACCAUGUUGGCCAGGCUGGUCUGGAACUCCUGACCUCAAGUGAUCUGCCCACCUUGGCCUCCCAAAGUGCUGAGAGUACAGGCGUGAGCCACUGCAUCCGGCUCUUAGCAUGUGCUUUUAAAGUAAAAACCACGAGGAGAAGGUACUCAUUACUUCAUAACUUGUGUCUCACCCACCUUGCUGUCUUCACAUCCCCACUUUCUGUAUGCACAUUGGAAGGUGAAUUUGUUCAGCUCACAUUAAUUUAUAGGAAUAAUUUUCAUUGCUCUGUGAAUAAAAUGUGCUACCACUUU
This 3922-nucleotide small RNA is filed under the name Pan troglodytes (chimpanzee). RNAcentral's name for it is "retained intron". Lineage: Eukaryota; Metazoa; Chordata; Mammalia; Primates; Hominidae. The record is from RNAcentral.